RNAcentral lists this ribosomal RNA (293 nucleotides) under uncultured bacterium. RNAcentral describes it as "partial 16S ribosomal RNA". It matches the Rfam family "Bacterial small subunit ribosomal RNA", at positions 333 to 642 of the family's 1533-position model. The record is from RNAcentral.
UUUCCCCUACGGGGGGCAGCAGUGGGGAAUAUUGCACAAUGGGGGAAACCCUGAUGCAGCAACGCCGCGUGAGUGAAGAAGUAAUUCGGUAUGUAAAGCUCUAUCAGCAGGGAAGAAGAAAGACGGUACCUGACUAAGAAGCCCCGGCUAACUACGUGCCAGCAGCCGCGGUAAUACGUAGGGGGCAAGCGUUAUCCGGAUUUACUGGAUGUAAAGGGAGCGUAGACGGCUGUGCAAGUCUGAUGUGAAAUCCCGUGGCUCAACCACGGAACUGCUUUGGAAACUGUAUAGCU